GGGCGGGUGAUCUAGCUCGGAAUGAUACCUCCUUGACGUGGAGGAGGCCACCGGUUCAAACGGGUAUGAGCUGCGGUUCAUAGCCUGGCAAUCCGGUCUCGCCCA
Molecule: transfer RNA, 105 nt
Filed under: Candidatus Heimdallarchaeota archaeon
Lineage: Archaea; Promethearchaeati; Candidatus Heimdallarchaeota
Description: tRNA-Val
Source: RNAcentral